Molecule: unclassified non-coding RNA, 379 nt
Filed under: uncultured Caryophanales bacterium
Lineage: Bacteria; Bacillati; Bacillota; Bacilli; Caryophanales
Description: uncultured Bacillales bacterium contains 16S-23S intergenic spacer region
Source: RNAcentral
UCCGGUUUGUCACCGGCGGUCCCCUUAGAGUUCCCAACUAAAUGCUGGCAACUAAGGGCAAGGGUUGCGCUCGUUGCGGGACUUAACCCAACAUCUCACGACACGAGCUGACGACAACCAUGCACCACCUGUCACCGUUGUCCCCGAAGGGAAAACCAUGUCUCCAUGAUGGUCACCGGGAUGUCAAGACCUGGUAAGGUUCUUCGCGUUGCUUCGAAUUAAACCACAUGCUCCACCGCUUGUGCGGGCCCCCGUCAAUUCCUUUGAGUUUCAGUCUUGCGACCGUACUCCCCAGGCGGAGUGCUUAAUGCGUUAGCUGCAGCACUAAGGGGCGGAAACCCCCUAACACUUAGCACUCAUCGUUUACGGCGUGGACUAC